Molecule: ribosomal RNA, 468 nt
Filed under: uncultured bacterium
Lineage: Bacteria
Description: partial 16S ribosomal RNA
Rfam family: Bacterial small subunit ribosomal RNA
Source: RNAcentral
GACGAACGCUGGCGGCGUGCUUAACACAUGCAAGUCGAACGGAAAGGCCCUGCUUUUGUGGGGUGCUCGAGUGGCGAACGGGUGAGUAACACGUGAGUAACCUGCCCUUGACUUUGGGAUAACUUCAGGAAACUGGGGCUAAUACCGGAUAGGUGCUCCUGCUGCAUGGUGGGGGUUGGAAAGUUUCGGCGGUUGGGGAUGGACUCGCGGCUUAUCAGCUUGUUUGUGGGGUAGUGGCUUACCAAGGCUUUGACGGGUAGCCGGCCUGAGAGGGUGACCGGCCACAUUGGGACUGAGAUACGGCCCAGACUCCUACGGGAGGCAGCAGUGGGGAAUAUUGCACAAUGGGCGGAAGCCUGAUGCAGCAACGCCGCGUGCGGGAUGACGGCCUUCGGGUUGUAAACCGCUUUCGCCUGUGACGAAGCGUGAGUGACGGUAAUGGGUAAAGAAGCACCGGCUAACUACGUG